CCUACGGGCGGCAGCAGUGAGGAAUAUUGGUCAAUGGGCGAGAGCCUGAACCAGCCAAGUCGCGUGAGGGAAGACGGUCCUAUGGAUUGUAAACCUCUUUUGCCGGGGAGCAAAAAGCGGUACGUGUACCGCAUCGCGAGUACCCGAAGAAAAAGCAUCGGCUAACUCCGUGCCAGCGGCCGCGGUAAUACGGAGGAUGCGAGCGUUAUCCGGAUUUAGUGGGUUUAAAGGGUGCGCAGGCGGCGAGUUAAGUCAGCGGUAAAAUUUUGGGGCUCAACCUCGACAAGCCGUUGAAAAUGGCUUGCUAGAGUGGGCGAGAGGUAUGCGGAAUGCGUGGUGUAGCGGUGAAAUGCAUAGAUAUCACGCAGAACUCCGAUUGCGAAGGCAGCAUACCGGCGCCCAACUGACGCUCAGGCACGAAAGCGUGGGUAUCGAACAGGAUUAGAUACCCGAGUAGUC
Molecule: ribosomal RNA, 459 nt
Filed under: uncultured bacterium
Lineage: Bacteria
Description: partial 16S ribosomal RNA
Rfam family: Bacterial small subunit ribosomal RNA
Source: RNAcentral